RNAcentral lists this ribosomal RNA (253 nucleotides) under uncultured microorganism. RNAcentral's name for it is "partial 16S ribosomal RNA". It matches the Rfam family "Bacterial small subunit ribosomal RNA", at positions 524 to 776 of the family's 1533-position model. The record is from RNAcentral.
UACGUAGGGUGCGAGCGUUAAUCGGAUUUACUGGGCGUAAAGCGCGCGUAGGUGGUUUGGUAAGCGAGAUGUGAAAGCCCCGGGCUUAACCUGGGAACGGCAUUUCGAACUGUCAGACUAGAGUGUGGUAGAGGGUAGUGGAAUUUCCUGUGUAGCGGUGAAAUGCGUAGAUAUAGGAAGGAACACCAGUGGCGAAGGCGGCUACCUGGACCAACACUGACACUGAGGUGCGAAAGCGUGGGGAGCAAACAGG